This 497-nucleotide ribosomal RNA is filed under the name uncultured bacterium. Its description in RNAcentral is "partial 16S ribosomal RNA". It matches the Rfam family "Bacterial small subunit ribosomal RNA", at positions 28 to 507 of the family's 1533-position model. The record is from RNAcentral.
GAUGAACGCUGGCGGCGUGCCUAAUACAUGCCAGUCGAGCGAACAGAUAAGGAGCUUGCUCCUUUGACGUUAGCGGCGGACGGGUGAGUAACAGGUGGGUAACCUACCUAUAAGACUGGAAUAACUCCGGGAAACCGGGGCUAAUGCCGGAUAACAUUUAGAACCGCAUGGUUCUAAAGUGAAAGAUGGUUUUGCUAUCACUUAUAGAUGGACCCGCGCCGUAUUAGCUAGUUGGUAAGGUAACGGCUUACCAAGGCAACGAUACGUAGCCGACCUGAGAGGGUGAUCGGCCACACUGGAACUGAGACACGGUCCAGACUCCUACGGGAGGCAGCAGUAGGGAAUCUUCCGCAAUGGGCGAAAGCCUGACGGAGCAACGCCGCGUGAGUGAUGAAGGUCUUCGGAUCGUAAAACUCUGUUAUUAGGGAAGAACAAAUGUGUAAGUAACUGUGCACGUCUUGACGGUACCUAAUCAGAAAGCCACGGCUAACUACGUG